CCGGAAUUUAUUUCACAAGCAACCUCUUCACAAUAAAUACAAAUUUGCUGUGAGUUCAAUUAUAACUUCAAUAACGCAUGUGCACUGACCUUGCACACCUAUAUUAUUAUACAGUUCAUUAGUUCACUAAUUACCGAUCAUUUUUAUAUAUUAUCUGAUUCCUGUUGUCAAUCCGUGCAUUAAAUAAAGAAACUUCAAGUUUCAUUGUCGCCCUUGUCACAAUGCUGCCCACACAUAGCGCCUUUCUACGCCAUGUUUCCUCGCUUUAUAUAAUCACAGAUUCCGUAAAUAAAUUCAUUACUCAUGCCCGGUUAUAAAGCCUGUAUCCCACUUAAAUCAUAUCAAAUCGUACCGAAACUUAAAGGCCGAUAAUACACCACACAACUUUUGCCUAAAACUGUCGCAUGCAACCUGCUUACAACUUGAGUUGUACUGUGUAAAUCAAACACACACAAUGACACAACUCGCCUACGUUGUCGUGAGUCAGUGAGUGCUUGAUUUACGCAGUACAACUCAAGUAAGGUUGCUGCGACUGUUUUAGGCUAAAUUUGUGUGGCAUAAAUCGGCCAUAAAGUAACAUAUUUCUUUGUUUCCUGGGCACUAUAUAUAGUCGCCCACCAUGCCAUCAAUUCUUUGUUUGCAAUGACGCAAUUUUGGGAUUUCAGUUGGCGGGCAGGUAUCACAAAAACGGCUAUAUUUUAAUGUAUUGAUCGAGUUCAGAGACAUUUUAAGACUCAAAAGAUGAAUUACCGUUCAGUUUUUCUUGCUAUAACCAUUCUGAUAGGAGAAAAUCGUCCACAAGUUGAGUUUGAUUGCCCGUCAUUUGGAUGGAACGUCACGUGAUUGCAAACAAAGAAUAGUACAAAAAUUGGCCAAGACACAGCUGACGUAGCAAAUAAAUGCCUGUACGCAGGCUCUGACGUGGCCUAUUUGAUGUGUUUUUGUAAUACAUGGAUAGCAUUAAUGACGUCGACUCAAACGGAAUACUACGAUACGUUACGAUAGGAUUGGAAGUCUUGGAACAUACAUAAUCUUCAAAGUCGCGAUGGACCGUGUCGUAGGCUAAGAAUAUAUUACUGUAUCCAGAGAGGAUUAAUCAUAGGCAUAGCCCCUCCGUUAAAUCAUGGCCGAUAAUCGUCUUAUUUCGCUCUGCGAUUCAUUUUCGUAUAACUCUCUUGUAAAAUUUUGCAAAUGGUAAAGUCUGAUCAGUAAUGUUCACGAUUCUAGCUACUUUUCAUUUUCAAU
Molecule: non-coding RNA, 1245 nt
Organism: Paramuricea clavata
Lineage: Eukaryota; Metazoa; Cnidaria; Anthozoa; Malacalcyonacea; Plexauridae
Source: the annotation of a GenBank genome assembly